Molecule: long non-coding RNA, 275 nt
Organism: Thalassophryne amazonica
Lineage: Eukaryota; Metazoa; Chordata; Actinopteri; Batrachoidiformes; Batrachoididae
Exons: 3
Source: RefSeq, a predicted model, not a curated record
AGGCUGUGGAGGCAGGAACUGAACAUUUAUGAGGACACGGAUAUCUACCACCUUCUCGCCCUGGUCUGGCAGGUCAACGUCGGCAUGAAAAUGAGAGACGUUGAGUUUGAAGCUCGAAGGAGACUCACAUCACGAGUGUCCCAAAGGCCGUCUUUUCAAGAUGCUGAGACCAGCAGGACGGCUCAGGACAUCGCCAGGAGUCUGAUGGAGAUGCCUCCGGAGGCGUUUGGCUGCAAACGCUUCGGCCUGCAGGAGGUGGUGAUGGAGGUUGUCCU